This 569-nucleotide long non-coding RNA is filed under the name Monodelphis domestica (gray short-tailed opossum). RNAcentral's name for it is "lncRNA (ENSMODG00000040881.1)". Lineage: Eukaryota; Metazoa; Chordata; Mammalia; Didelphimorphia; Didelphidae. The record is from RNAcentral.
AAAGUAUAACAUAGGGACCAAAAGUGCUAUAGGAGUACAGAAGACACAGGACUUCAUCCUAACUGGGGUGAUUCAGGGAACCAAUAUAGUGGAAGCAACAUGUGAUUUGAGUCUUAGAGAAAGAAUAGGAUUUCAACAGAAAAGCAGAACAGGAAAGAACAUCCCAAGCAUGGAGGCCAACAAAAAGGUACGGAGGCAUUUAAGUUCUAUCAGAAUUAUCUAAGAACCUCUACAAAUGAUUUGGAACCAGAGAAGCAGAGUCCUUCAGAGCUGUCCUGAAUGAAGUCUAGUCCAGAAUGUACAAGAUAUCCAGGGACCAUACACCUACAUAAACAUCUGGGAUCCAAAAUGUACUGAUUAAAUGGAUAUUGGAAUGGGGAGACUUGAUAUUAGUUGAUGAUCAUUGUUGUAUUGCUUUAGCCUUUUGUUUCAGUGUUUCUAUUGGUGUUUUAAGUAUUCUUGGUUAUGUUGAUGACAUGUAAAUAUUCCUUCUAAAAAAUGAUUGUGAGUCCUCUAGUUUGACCUGUAACCUAAAUAAAUUCUGCUUAUGAAUAUAAGAAAAAUCUUCU